GAUGAACGCUGGCGGCGUGCCUAAUACAUGCAAGUCGAGCGAACAGACGAGGAACUUGCUCCUCUGACGUUAGCGGCGGACGGGUGAGUAACACGUGGAUAACCUACCUAUAAGACUGGGAUAACUUCAGGAAACCGGAGCUAAUACCGGAUAAUAUAUUGAACCGCAUGGUUCAGUAGUGAAAUACGGUUUUGCUGUCACUUAUAGAUGGAUCCGCGUCGCAUUAGCUAGUUGGUAAGGUAACGGCUUACCAAGGCAACGAUGCGUAGCCGGUCUGAGAGGAUGAUCCGCCACACUGGGACUGAGACACGGCCCAGACUCCUACGGGAGGCAGCAGUGGGGAAUCUUGGACAAUGGGCGAAAGCCUGAUGGAGCAACGCCGCGUGUAUGAUGAAGGUCUUAGGGUUGUAAAGUACUUUUGUUAGGGAAGAAAAGAUGGUUAUUAAUAAAAACAAGUGUUGACGGUACCUAAAGAAAAAGCACCGGCUAACUACGUG
RNAcentral lists this ribosomal RNA (497 nucleotides) under uncultured bacterium. RNAcentral's name for it is "partial 16S ribosomal RNA". It matches the Rfam family "Bacterial small subunit ribosomal RNA", at positions 28 to 507 of the family's 1533-position model. The record is from RNAcentral.